RNAcentral lists this ribosomal RNA (484 nucleotides) under uncultured bacterium. Its description in RNAcentral is "partial 16S ribosomal RNA". It matches the Rfam family "Bacterial small subunit ribosomal RNA", at positions 28 to 506 of the family's 1533-position model. The record is from RNAcentral.
GAUGAACGCUGGCGGCGUGCUUAACACAUGCAAGUCGAACGGGAUCCAAGGGGUGCUUGCACUUUUUGGUGAGAGUGGCGAACGGGUGAGUAACACGUGAGUAACCUGUCCUUUUCUUUGGGAUAAGCAUUCGAAAGGGUGUUUAAUACCUUAUGUUCUGUCUGCCUCGCAUGGGGUGGGUGGGAAAGGCUUUGGCCGGAUUUGGGUGGGCUCGCGGUCUAUCAGCUUGUUGGUGGGGUGAUGGCUUACCAAGGCUUUGACGGGUAGCCGGCCUGAGAGGGUGGUCGGUCACAUUGGGACUGAGAUACGGCCCAGACUCCUGCGGGAGGCAGCAGUGGGGGAUAUUGCACAAUGGGCGAAAGCCUGAUGCAGCGACGCCGCGUGGGGGAUGAAGGCCUUCGGGUUGUAAACUUCUUUUGCUCUGAACAAGGCAUGCCAGUGGGUGUGUUGAGUGUAGGGGUUGAUUAGCGCCGGCUAACUACGU